Molecule: long non-coding RNA, 3039 nt
Organism: Oreochromis niloticus (Nile tilapia)
Lineage: Eukaryota; Metazoa; Chordata; Actinopteri; Cichliformes; Cichlidae
Exons: 20
Source: RefSeq, a predicted model, not a curated record
ACUGGCCUGCUCACUCAGUGGUUGUGCACAGUCUUUUGAGGAAGAGGUGAACAUGGACAAACGCUCGUCUACAGUUUGUGUAUUGAUUGCAGCACUUUGUGCAUUGGUGCACUUUGGCACUGUUUUUUCUUUGGUGAGAUCUGACAUUUUAAUAGGAGAAUGCCCAUGGCGCCUUAAUCUUGCUCUAACACGUUUGGGGUGUGAGGACUGUCCUACAGACCACACAUGCUGUGUCUAUGAUGGUGAAGAGGUGUGUCUUCCUUCAGUUUCACCAAAACCAGGAGAGUGUCCUCUCAUGAGGUCAGAGGUUGGACUGUGUGUUGAAUCUUGCUCUUAUGACAGUGACUGCCCCAAUAAUGAGAAGUGCUGCUCUAAUGGAUGUGGUCAUCAUUGCAUAGAGCCCUACCUGGUGCUUCCUGCAAAACCAGAAUGUCCACAGCAUCUUAAUUUUGCUCUGUCACAUAAGGGUUGUGAGGACUGUCCCACAGACCACAUAUGCUGUGUCUAUAAUGGUGAAGAAGUCUGUGUUCCCACUGUUUUCACAAAACCAGGAGUGUGUCCUCUCAUGCGGUCAGAGGUUGGACCGUGUGUUGCAUCUUGCUCUUAUGACAAUGACUGCCCCAAUAAUGAGAAGUGCUGCUCCAGUGGAUGUGGUCGCCAUUGCAUAGAGCCCUACCCGGGACUGAGUGAUCCAAAUGCACCACAUUGUGACAAUAACCAUGGCAUAGCAGCUGAUGAGCAGCAGAUAGAUACGAAAGAGCAGGAAGUCAAGGACAUAUCCUACAUGACACCACUGGUGCAACAGCUGGCUUUCCUUCUGCAGAGAGAAGAGGUGGGCACCAAGUUCAGCAAGGUGGUUUAUAAUAGUACCUAUGAUGCGAGUGCCAUUUGCCGUACUCGGCAGCAGGUCGUUCAUGAUGAGCAGGAAGACUGUGUAGCCCAGGAUGAGGGCCAUUUUGAAGGAGGUGCGGUCGACGCUAUGGGGAGGCAGGUAGAAGGACAGGAUGUCAAUGAGCAUGAGGAAAGAGCUUGGGAUCAGAAGGUUGACCACGUAGAGCACUGGGCGUCGCUUUACGACCACCUAGUGAACGAGGAAAACGAGGAAAGUUUAAAUGCAUCUUCACAGAUGCAUCUACAUAGAACCGGUUGUCAAACCGGUUUGGUUGGCCGCCAUUUUGAACUAGUGCCAUCGUAUUGCUACUGUUGUGCACAAUCUUUUGAGCAAGAGGUGAACAUGGACAAACGCUCGUCUACAGUUUAUGUGUUGAUUGUAGCACUUUGUGCAUUGGUGCACUUUGGCACUGUUUUUUGCACAGCUACUUUGAGAAGUGGUGGCAUUUUAACAGCAAAGCCAGGAGUGUGCCCUGUCAGGAAAUAUAUACGUGCAGACUGUACUGAAUCUUGCUCUAAAGACAGUGACUGCCCGGAUAAUGAGAAGUGCUGCUCCAACGGAUGUGGACAUGAAUGCAUGCCUCCAGUCAUAGUGAAGCCAGGAUUGUGUCCUCGCAGACGCUUGGAUGACAGACGGUGUGCUGUAACUUGCUCUACUGACACUGACUGCCCCAAUCAGGAGAAGUGCUGCUUCAGUGGAUGUGGUCGUCAGUGCAUGGAGCCCUACCCAGUCUGGCGGGCGGCCACCUUCAUGCUUCCUCCAAAACCAGAAUGUCCAUGGCAUCUUAAUUUUGCUCUGUCACGUAAGGGUUGUAAGGACUGUCCUAAAGACCACAUAUGCUGUGCCUAUAAUGGUGAAGAAGUCUGUGUUCCUACUGUUUUCACAAAACCAGGAGUGUGUCCUCGCAGGCUUCCCCGUGUAGCCUUUGGACCGUGUGUUGAAUCUUGCUCUUAUGACAGUGACUGUCCCAAUAAUGAGAAGUGCUGCUCCAACGGAUGUGGACAUCAGUGCAUGGCUCCAGUCUCAGUGCUUCCUCCAAAACCAGAAUGUCCAUGGCAUCUUAAUUUUGCUCUGUCACGUAAGGGUUGUAAGGACUGUCCUAAAGACCACAUAUGCUGUGUCUAUAAUGGUGAAGAAGUCUGUGUUCCUACUGUUUUCACAAAACCAGGAGUGUGUCCUCGCAGGCUUCCCCGUGUAGCCUUUGGACCGUGUGUUGAAUCUUGCUCUUAUGACAGUGACUGUCCCAAUUAUGAGAAGUGCUGCUCCAACAGAUGUGGACAUCAGUGCAUGGCUCCAGUCUCAGUGCUUCCUCCAAAACCAGAAUGUCCAUGGCAUCUUAAUUUUGCUCUGUCACGUAAGGGUUGUGAGGACUGUCCCACAGACCACAUAUGCUGUGUCUAUAAUGGUGAAGAAGUCUGUGUUCCUACUGUCUUCACAAAACCAGGAGUGUGUCCUCGCAAGUUUCUUCUGCCUUCUUCUUCAGCCUUUGUACCGUGUGUUGAAUCUUGCUCUUAUGACAGUGACUGUCCGGAUAAUGAGAAGUGCUGCUCUAAUGGAUGUGCUCAUGAAUGCAUGGCACCAUACAUAGUGAAGCCAGGAUUGUGUCCUCGCAGACGCUUGGAUGACAGACGGUGUGCUGAAACUUGCUCUACUGACAAUGACUGCCCCAAUCAGGAGAAGUGCUGCUUCAGUGGAUGUGGUCGUCAGUGCAUGGAGCCCUACCCAGUCUGGCGGGCGGCCACCGUUUGAGGCCCGAUGUGUGCUGAGUACUGCUAUCAUGAUGGUCAGGGUCCAGGACAUCAGAAGUGCUGCAGGACAACCUGUGAUCACACCUGCAGUGAGCUCUGCUGAUUAGAAAGUACCCAGUCAAUCUAUAAUAAACAUCAUUAAACUUACCAUCUCUGCAAAUCAACCCAAAUCACUUUUUUCUUUCUUUAAUGUGAUGAAGACUUUCUGUUUCUGAUGAUAAUCAUGUCUCUCUUAUUUUUUCAAACAGACACUUUUUUUCUUACAAAGAAAAAGUGGUCUGUUGGCAUUUUAUUCUUGUUCUCUUAUUUACAACAUGUGAUCUUACCUCAGUGUGAGAAACAGUGUUUCAGUAUGAAUAGUAAAUCUGUUCCAUUUCUAAUUAAAGAGUUAUAGCAUGA